This 106-nucleotide small nuclear RNA is filed under the name Catagonus wagneri (Chacoan peccary). The record is from RNAcentral. Lineage: Eukaryota; Metazoa; Chordata; Mammalia; Artiodactyla; Tayassuidae.
GGGUGAGUGCUCCCUGCCGAUAUACUAAAAUUGUAACAAUACAGAGAAGAUUAGAUGGCCCCUGCACAAGGAUGACACACAAGUUCAUGAAACGCUGGCGUUCCUG